RNAcentral lists this ribosomal RNA (406 nucleotides) under uncultured bacterium. RNAcentral's name for it is "partial 16S ribosomal RNA". It matches the Rfam family "Bacterial small subunit ribosomal RNA", at positions 30 to 526 of the family's 1533-position model. The record is from RNAcentral.
AUUGAACGCUGGCGGCAGGCCUAACACAUUCAAGUCGAACUAGUGUCGGACGGGUGAGUAUUGUCUUGGUAACUGCCUGAUGGAGGGGGAUAACUCCUGUAAACGGUAGCUAAUACCGCAUACCAUCGGAUGUGCCCAGAUGGGAUUAGCUAGUAGGUGGGGUAAAGGCUCACCUAGGCGACGAUCCCUAGCUGGUCUGAGAGGAUGACCAGACACACUGGGACUGAGACACGGUCCAGACUCCUACGGGAGGCAGCAGUGGGGAAUCUUGCGCAAUGGGCGCAAGCCUGAUGCAGCCAUGCCGCGUGUAUGAAGAAGGCCUUCGGGUUGUAAAGUACUUUCAGCGGGGAGGCGUUACCCGCAGAAGAAGCACCGGCUAACUCCGUGCCAGCAGCCGCGGUAAUUC